RNAcentral lists this long non-coding RNA (528 nucleotides) under Anolis carolinensis (green anole). RNAcentral's name for it is "lncRNA (ENSACAG00000037957.1)". Lineage: Eukaryota; Metazoa; Chordata; Lepidosauria; Squamata; Anolidae. The record is from RNAcentral.
CAGCAUUAGAAAACCCCAAUCAGGAGAGGGGAGAGAUUUGUCCAUCCAUAGUAGCAGUCAGCCAGAGUUCCAAUAAAUUGUUGAAUCUGUAAAGAGAAGGACUGACUGAUACUUCAAUACAAACCGUGAGUUCCUGGGAAUCUUAAAGAACUGAACAGCCUCUGCCUGAACGAAUCUUCUGGUUAAUACAUGUAAUCUUAUUGGUUGUGUCCACUCGGCCAAAAUAAGUGAAAAAGGUUUCUACUGACACAUUGCCAGGAAAGUGUACUGGAUAUAAGAGUGAAAUGAAAGGUCUGGACUCAAAUCAGUGCUUAGCUAUCAUGUUUACUUGAAACCUCAUCAGAUGGACAACAGAGGAGCUCCACUUUGUAGAGACGCAUGCGAAACCCAUCACUCCAUGCCCCGCAUUGCCUGACUCCAGCUGAGGAUGAUCAGAUGGGAAAAGCAUCGCUGACUGCUGUAAGGCUGCUCUGAAUCCCCUUCCAGGUGAGAAGGUUGGGAUACACAUAUGGAAAAUAAAUAAAUAAA